GUACUCCAAUGGCGUCUGUGUCAGCACGCUCACACCAGGCCACAACAAUGGCCGCCGCCAAUGUCCCAGUCCCUGGAGAGGUCUCACCCCUCACCGAGAUGCACUGAGGGCCUAUCAGAUCAGAAAAAGGAGCUCAGGAGGCAAGUAGUUCUCAGAAUCCACAGCUGGAGUUUGGACUCUUUUAUUAAGCAGCAGAG
This is a long non-coding RNA of Diceros bicornis minor, 197 nucleotides long. RefSeq lists it as uncharacterized. Lineage: Eukaryota; Metazoa; Chordata; Mammalia; Perissodactyla; Rhinocerotidae. The transcript has 3 exons. The record is from RefSeq and is a predicted model, not a curated record.